Etheostoma cragini (Arkansas darter) is the source of this 205-nucleotide long non-coding RNA. RefSeq lists it as uncharacterized. The transcript is spliced from 3 exons. The record is from RefSeq and is a predicted model, not a curated record. Lineage: Eukaryota; Metazoa; Chordata; Actinopteri; Perciformes; Percidae.
GACAAGUAGCUGGACUCGACUCGCCUUAUUUUGACUGAAAGUACCGCAAAACAACACUUUUUCUGCUCAUGAGUUCCAUUUUCACUUUCUCGCAGCCUACUGCAUUGAACGGUCCACCUACGUAAACACCUUCCCGUAAUAAAUGGCAGUGUCAUUACGUUGACCAGCGUAGCGCGCGUAGUGCAAGCAUAGGGUUUGGUGGAAA